CACCGAUUGACUAAGGUUUCCAGAGGAAGGCUCGUCCGCUCUGGGUUAGUCGGGUCCUAAGCUGAGGCCGAUAGGCGUAGGCGAUGGAUAACAGGUUGAUAUUCCUGUACCACCAUGUAUCGUUUUAAGCGAUGGGGGGACGCAGUAGGAUAGGCGAAGCGUACGAUUGGAUUGUACGUCCAAGCAGUAAGACUGAGUGUUAGGCAAAUCCGGCACUCUUAAGGUCAAGCUGUGAUGGGGAGAGGAAAUUGUUUCCUCGAGUCGUUGAUUUCACACUGCCGAGAAAAGCCUCUAGCUAGAUUUAUGGUGCCCGUACCGCAAACCGACACAGGUAGUCAAGAUGAGAAUUCUAAGGUGAGCGAGCGAACUCUCGUUAAGGAACUCGGCAAAAUGACCCCGUAACUUCGGGAGAAGGGGUGCUAUUUAGGGUUCACGCCCAGGACAGCCGCAGUGAAUAGGACCAAGCGACUGUGUAU
RNAcentral lists this ribosomal RNA (476 nucleotides) under bacterium M00.F.Ca.ET.162.01.1.1. RNAcentral describes it as "partial 23S ribosomal RNA". It matches the Rfam family "Bacterial large subunit ribosomal RNA", at positions 1335 to 1807 of the family's 2925-position model. The record is from RNAcentral.